AAAAGAAGGUGACCUGUAGACAGGUCAAGGACAGUAAAGUCAUUCAGCCCAGGUUUUCCCCCACUCUCUUGCUGUCAUUCACCUCUCCAACUGUUUGCUCCUGUCCCACAGGGACUGCUCAUUGCCUAGCUGCCUCCUGCUCACUACAUUGAACUGCCCCUCCGACGGAGAACACCUUCACAGGGAUGGGGUUGCUGUAUGGUCCCCCUCAAGGGGACUUAUCAUCACAGCUUGCUCCUAACAUUCCUUCAUGCAUUUUAGUUGUCUGCAGCUGGUGCCUGUGGGAGACCCCACUGUGGUUCUUUUGUCCACAACUGAAGUAGCCAGGGGGGCGGCGGAGCACACAUCAGAGAUUCAGUGGAACCAAGAUUUGAGAGGGAUCUCCCUGCAUUACUGAGGAGAAAGACGAGAAGAUACAGAAAAGAGAAACUUGCCCAAAUCUGAGAGUGGAGCCAAAACGAGGAGGAGGGAGGAGGUGGCCAGAUGUGGGCCAGCCAAAACCCAGGGAGGCAGAGAUAUAUUCCUGAGGCAAGAGAUGUCCCAUUCAAACUAUCCCUAGAUAUUCCAAAUUCCUUUGAAAACAGGAGAAAUUAGCAUGUCUUGAAAGGCACAAGGGCAGGAAAUGAAGGAAGAGGAGAGGCCCAGCAUGGGGAAGUCAUUCUGGGCUGUGACAUCACAGGCAGCGCACCUGUCAGGGCAGUGGAGAACUGCCGCCUACUUCUUACCACUGAGGACCAGACUGUGCCUGUCUCCACCAUGGGCUCCGGGUUCCUCUGCUGUAUGGUCCUCUGCCUCCUGGGAGCAGCACCCCUGGACACAACAGUUUCCCAGACUCCAAGAUACCUCAUCGCGCACGUGGGAUCGAAGAAGUUACUAAAAUGUGAGCAAAAUCUGGGCCAUAAUGCUAUGUACUGGUAUAAGCAAGACCUCAAGCAACUGCUGAAGAUCAUGUUUAUCUACUUUAAUCAGGGACUCAAUCUAAAUGAAUCAGUUCCAGGUCGUUUCUCACCUGAGACAUCUGACAAAGCUCAUUUAAACCUUCAUGUCGACUCCCUGGAGACAGGUGACUCUGCUGUGUAUUUCUGUGCCAGCAGCCUAGACACAGCCCUGCAAAGUCACUACCUCCCUGUGCACAAACCCCCCGGCCCAGCCAGGAAGCUGUGGGGCUACAUGUUCACCUGAUCCUGAGGCUCCAUUCACCCCCCAGGAGAUCCCGUAUCAGAAUUUCCAGUCUGUAGUACAGGCUGCUCAUAUGCCUGAUUGGACAGUUCUACCAUUAUUGUCAUACAAGUGUCCAGAAUUCCAAUUAUCAGCUGGAGCAAUAAAUUCACUGAAGUUCUAAUGAUUUCCAAUAAACUCACUGAAGUACUCAGGAUUUCAGAAACAAGAAAGGACUUUGUCCCAUGUGCUAAAGAUCUUACAUGGUGGAAGGAGCCAUUCCUUGAAUGUCUCUGCUGUACAUUUGGGUGCCAAUGGUACAAACAUUGUGACCGAAUACACGCAAUUCACUAAAAAUAGUUGAUGAGCAAAAUCCUAGGGAGGAAACGAGGUAAUGAUGAAACUAUCUAAGGAUGUAAGGAAAUUCAGAUCAUCACUGAGUUUGCUGAAUAAAAUAUUCUUGGAGAAGCAUGAAAGUUCUGGCAACAGGUGAACUAGAAAGAAUGUGUUGGGGAUAAGCCCCAGGAGGGGUAGGCUUGUGCUCUGCAGACUCCCUCCUUUCCAGAAGGAUGACCAGGGUCACUCUUUC
Non-coding RNA from Canis lupus familiaris (dog), 1747 nucleotides. The record is from the annotation of a RefSeq genome assembly. NCBI's taxonomy places the organism in Eukaryota, Metazoa, Chordata, Mammalia, Carnivora, Canidae.